AGUAAUCGCGGAUCAGCAUGCCGCGGUGAAUACGUUCCCGGGCCUUGUACACACCGCCCGUCACACCGUGAGAGUCGGGAACACCCGAAGUCCGUAGCCUGACCGCGAAGGGGGGCGCGGCGAAGGUGGGUUCGAUAAUUGGGGUGAAGUCGUAACAAGGUAUC
Molecule: ribosomal RNA, 164 nt
Filed under: uncultured bacterium
Lineage: Bacteria
Description: partial 16S ribosomal RNA
Rfam family: Bacterial small subunit ribosomal RNA
Source: RNAcentral